Lynx canadensis (Canada lynx) is the source of this 147-nucleotide long non-coding RNA. RefSeq lists it as uncharacterized. Lineage: Eukaryota; Metazoa; Chordata; Mammalia; Carnivora; Felidae. The transcript has 3 exons. The record is from RefSeq and is a predicted model, not a curated record.
CGGAGGAGGGCGCUCGUUGGGAUGAACACUGGGUGUUGUAUGUCGGUGAUGAAUUACGGGAAUCUAUUCCUGAAACCGAGACUACACUGUAUACGCUGUGUUAGCUAACGUGACAAUAAAUUAUUAAAAAAAAAAUGACAGCUGGAG